UGUGAAGCUGACCGUUAUCGUAAAGUUUUCAAAUACCGUCAGGUAAUCGAUUAUUGAUUCUGAAUAAUUGAUUGUUUUGAUUAAAAUCCGGAAAAGAUUUUUUGAAUGUUAUUGGGUAAUCGAUAAUUGAUUCUGUAUAAUCGAUUGUUUUGAUUAAAAUCCGGAAAAGAUUUUUCGAACGUUGCUGAGUAAUCGAUUGUUGAUUCUGGACAAUCGAUUGUUUGUGGUAAAAUCUGGAAAGGAUUUUUUGAACGUUGCCAGUAAUCGAUUAUGG
Molecule: long non-coding RNA, 274 nt
Filed under: Nicotiana benthamiana
Lineage: Eukaryota; Viridiplantae; Streptophyta; Magnoliopsida; Solanales; Solanaceae
Description: long non-coding RNA (NBEN_LNC003105)
Source: RNAcentral